GAUGAACGCUGGCGGCGUGCCUAAUACAUGCAAGUCGAGCGAACAGAUAAGGAGCUUGCUCCUUUGACGUUAGCGGCGGACGGGUGAGUAACACGUGGGUAACCUACCUAUAAGACUGGGAUAACUUCGGGAAACCGGAGCUAAUACCGGAUAAUAUUUCGAACCGCAUGGUUCGAUAGUGAAAGAUGGUUUUGCUAUCACUUAUAGAUGGACCCGCGCCGUAUUAGCUAGUUGGUAAGGUAACGGCUUACCAAGGCGACGAUACGUAGCCGACCUGAGAGGGUGAUCGGCCACACUGGAACUGAGACACGGUCCAGACUCCUACGGGAGGCAGCAGUAGGGAAUCUUCCGCAAUGGGCGAAAGCCUGACGGAGCAACGCCGCGUGAGUGAUGAAGGUCUUCGGAUCGUAAAACUCUGUUAUUAGGGAAGAACAUACGUGUAAGUAACUGUGCACGUCUUGACGGUACCUAAUCAGAAAGCCACGGCUAACUACGUGCCAGCAGCCGCCGCAG
This 513-nucleotide ribosomal RNA is filed under the name uncultured bacterium. RNAcentral's name for it is "partial 16S ribosomal RNA". It matches the Rfam family "Bacterial small subunit ribosomal RNA", at positions 28 to 523 of the family's 1533-position model. The record is from RNAcentral.